Molecule: ribosomal RNA, 244 nt
Filed under: uncultured Actinomycetales bacterium
Lineage: Bacteria; Bacillati; Actinomycetota; Actinomycetes; Actinomycetales
Description: partial 16S ribosomal RNA
Rfam family: Bacterial small subunit ribosomal RNA
Source: RNAcentral
UGCUCGAGUGGCGAACGGGUGAGUAACACGUGGGUGAUCUGCCCUGCACUUCGGGAUAAGCUUGGGAAACUGGGUCUAAUACCGGAUAGGACCAUCGUUUAGUGUCGGUGGUGGAAAGUUUUUUCGGUGUGGGAUGAGCUCGCGGCCUAUCAGCUUGUUGGUGGGGGUAAUGGCCUACCAAGGCGUCGACGGGUAGCCGGCCUGAGAGGGUGUACGGCCACAUUGGGACUGAGAUACGGCCCAG